Molecule: ribosomal RNA, 253 nt
Filed under: uncultured bacterium
Lineage: Bacteria
Description: partial 16S ribosomal RNA
Rfam family: Bacterial small subunit ribosomal RNA
Source: RNAcentral
GACGGAGGGGGCAAGCGUUGUCCGGACUCACUGGGCGUAAAGGGCGCGUAGGCGGCGCCACAAGUCACUUGUGAAAACUCUGGGCUCAACUCAGAGCCUGCAAGCGAAACUGUGGUGCUGGAGUAUGGGAGAGGUGCGUGGAAUUCCCGGUGUAGCGGUGAAAUGCGUAGAUAUCGGAAGGAACGCCGGUGGCGAAAGCGGCGUGCUGGACCUCAUCUGACGCUGAGGCGCGAAAGCCAGGGGAGCAAACGGG